UCCAUGCACCCCACCUCGCCAGCUGACAUGUGAGUUCCAUGUACUGCCCUGCAUAUGACUUUAUCCAUUUAUCUACACAUCUGGAACUACGCAGAAAGAGACUAAGACAGUGUUCUCUGUGAGCACAUUGCACAUCGUUUAGCGUUGUCUUCUCCUUUUUGUUGAUUUCAGCGAUCCUAAGGUCCACAGCAUCGUGGAGAGAGCUGUGAGGAGCAUUCUGGGCGAGCAGUCCAAAGAGCCCAGUAGCAACCUGCUCAGCCCAUCUCAGGUGGUGGUGGAGGUGGUGCCCAGGCUCCUCCUGGCCCUGUGGCUUCAGCCAGAGGAAGGCCAUUCAGAGCACCCAAUCCUAAUAGGUGGGAUGGCCGUGGGCAUGGUGGCGGCCGUAGUGGAGAAGCUCUCCUGCAUGUUAAAGGACCCUUCCCCUCACAUCCCUUUCUCCCGGGCUGCUGCUUUUGACUCUGUGUGGUCGAUCCUCGGGAGAAUCAGUCAGUCCUUCUCCACCGAUGACCUGCAGAGCCCUUUUUAUACGAGCUCUGUUUGUGCCUUUGUGGCGGACGAGGUGCAGAGCUGCUUCCAGCCCCCUGCAGCCACCCUACCAGUCCCCCCUGUCCUCGCGGUGGCCGCUUCCACCACACUACCAGCUGACAUCCAAGCAGACCCGGCUUCUUCCCACCUCGAGGUUGUAGACAUCACCCCUAAGACAGAGGCAUAUCAGGCUUCUUCCCACCUGGAGGUUGUGGACAUCACCCCUAAGACAGAGGCAUAUCAGGCUUCUUCCCACCUGGAGGUUGUGGACAUCACCCGUAACACAGAGGCAUAUCAGGCUUCUUUCCACCUGGAGGUUGUAGACAUCACCACUAACACAGAGGCAGACCCAGCAUCUUCCCACCUGGAGGUUGAGGACAUCACCACUAACACAGAGGCAGACCCAGCAUCUUCCCACCUGGAGGUUGAGGACAUCACCACUAACACAGAGGCAGACCCAGCAUCUUCCCACCUGGAGGUUGAGGACAUCACCACUAACACAGAGGCAGACCCAGCAUCUUCCCACCUGGAGGUUGAGGACAUCACCACUAACACAGAGGCAGACCCAGCAUCUUCCCACCUGGAGGUUGUAGACAUCACCCGUAAGACAGAGGCAGACCCGGCAUCUUCCCACCUGGAGGUUGAGGACAUCACCACUAACACAGAGGCAGACCCAGCAUCUUCCCACCUGGAGGUUGAGGACAUCACCACUAACACAGAGGCAGAUCAGGCUUCUUCCCACCUGGAGGUUGUGGACAUCACCCGUAAAACAGAGGCAGACCCGGCAUCUUCCCACCUGGAGGUUGAGGACAUCACCACUAACACAGAGGCAGACCCAGCAUCUUACCACCUGGAGGUUGAGGACAUCACCACUAACACAGAGGCAGAUCAGGCUUCUUCCCACCUGGAGGUUGUGGACAUCACCCGUAAAACAGAGGCAGACCCGGCAUCUUCCCACCUGGAGGUUGUGGACAUCACCCGUAAAACAGAGGCAGACCCGGCAUCUUCCCACCUGGAGGUUGUGGACAUCACCCGUAAGACAGAGGCAGAUCUGCCUUCUUCGCACCUGAAUGUUGUGGACAUCACCAGUAACACAGAGGCAGACCCAGGUUCUUCCCAUCUGAAUGUUGUGGACAUCACCUCUAAUACAGAGGCAGACCCGGCUUCUUCCCACCUGAAUGUUGUGGACAUAACCCCUAAUACAGAGGCAGAGCCCAUCUCUUCCCUCUUGGAGGUUGUGGACGUCACACCUGAAGAAAGGACUCUCACGAUGGCCAUCUCCGCCACUCUGCCAGCUGACAUCCAAGCAGAGGAUGUUGCUGUGGUCACCCCACACGUCACCAAGGACGUGACACUGGAUGUUCCAUGCAGAGCUAGGAAAGGGGCAGUCCGGCGAUUAUUUUGCAGGCUUUGGAGGGCAGUGUGCUGCUGUGCCUGCCACAAGGAAGAGGAGGAACAAUAUUAAUUAUUCAUCAGACCUUCAGAAAUGGGAUUGAACCAUAGACCAUUAAAUUAUACAAUUAUAAUUGGACUCAAUUC
This is a long non-coding RNA of Oncorhynchus kisutch (coho salmon), 2064 nucleotides long. The record is from Ensembl. Lineage: Eukaryota; Metazoa; Chordata; Actinopteri; Salmoniformes; Salmonidae.